This 387-nucleotide unclassified non-coding RNA is filed under the name uncultured bacterium. RNAcentral's name for it is "contains 16S-23S intergenic spacer region". The record is from RNAcentral.
UCCGGUUUGGCACCGGCAGUCCCCCGAGAGUCCUCAGCAGUUUGCACCCUGUUAGCAACACGGGGCGGGGGUUGCGCUCGUUGCGGGACUUAACCCAACAUCUCACGACACGAGCUGACGACAGCCAUGCAGCACCUGUGUCCAGGUUCCCUUUCGGGCACCCCCGCAUCUCUGCAGGGUUCCUGGCAUGUCAAGGGUAGGUAAGGUUCUUCGCGUUGCAUCGAAUUAAUCCACAUAAUCCACCGCUUGUGCGGGUCCCCGUCAAUUCCUUUGAGUUUUAAUCUUGCGACCGUACUCCCCAGGCGGGGUGCUUAAUGCGUUAGCUUCGGCACGGACGGGGUCGAUAUCCGCCCACACCUAGCACCCAACGUUUACGGCUAAGACUAC